Molecule: ribosomal RNA, 310 nt
Filed under: uncultured bacterium
Lineage: Bacteria
Description: partial 16S ribosomal RNA
Rfam family: Bacterial small subunit ribosomal RNA
Source: RNAcentral
AAGAGACAGCAGUAGCCGCGGUAAUACGUAGGUGGCAAGCGUUGUCCGGAAUUAUUGGGCGUAAAGGGCUCGCAGGCGGUUUCUUAAGUCUGAUGUGAAAGCCCCCGGCUCAACCGGGAAGGGUCAUUGGAAACUGGGAAACUUGAGUGCAGAAGAGGAGAGUGGAAUUCCACGUGUAGCGGUGAAAUGCGUAGAGAUGUGGAGGAACACCAGUGGCGAAGGCGACUCUCUGGUCUGUAACUGACGCUGAGGAGCGAAAGCGUGGGGAGCGAACAGGAUUAGAUACCCCUGUAGUCCCUGUCUCUUAUAC